CAGCCGCCGCGGGAAUACGGAGGGAGCUAGCGUUGUUCGGAAUUACUGGGCGUAAAGCGCACGUAGGCGGCUUUGCAAGUUAGAGGUGAAAGCCUGGGGCUCAACUCCAGAAUUGCCUUUAAGACUGCAUCGCUUGAAUCAUGGAGAGGCGAGUGGAAUUCCGAGUGUAGAGGUGAAAUUCGUAGAUAUUCGGAAGAACACCAGUGGCGAAGGCGGCUCGCUGGACAUGUAUUGACGCUGAGGUGCGAAAGCGUGGGGAGCAAACAGGAUUAGAUACCCCGGUAGUCCCUGUCUCUUAUAC
This 301-nucleotide ribosomal RNA is filed under the name uncultured bacterium. RNAcentral describes it as "partial 16S ribosomal RNA". It matches the Rfam family "Bacterial small subunit ribosomal RNA", at positions 509 to 807 of the family's 1533-position model. The record is from RNAcentral.